RNAcentral lists this ribosomal RNA (253 nucleotides) under uncultured bacterium. Its description in RNAcentral is "partial 16S ribosomal RNA". It matches the Rfam family "Bacterial small subunit ribosomal RNA", at positions 524 to 776 of the family's 1533-position model. The record is from RNAcentral.
UACGUAGGUGGCAAGCGUUGUCCGGAUUUACUGGGCGUAAAGGGCGUGCAGGCGGUUUGUUAAGUGCAGAGUGAAAGCUCCCGGCUCAACUGGGAGAGGUCUUUGCAUACUGGCAAACUCGAGGGAGGCAGAGGAAAGUGGAAUUCCCGGUGUAGUGGUGAUAUGCGUAGAUAUCAGGAGGAACACCGGUGGCGAAGGCGGGUCUCUGGGCCGAUACUGACGCUGAGGAGCGAAAGCGUGGGGAGCGAACAGG